CAUUCUAUAUGUCUAUAAAUUAUGUUGUACUUAAGCACAAGUGUAGAUAUCAUGUGGAAGCAUGCAACAGUAUUAUUACAGGACUGACUCUAUUCCAUUGGCUAUCCCUUGUAUCCCUAGGACUCAUUCAUUCCACAGCUGGAAGCAGUUAUCUCUCUCUCAAAGGUGUCAAUCCUUUAUCUAACCUAAACACUUCGGUGGUAAACACAAUUACCUCUUGUUCAGCAUGUGUAAAUUGGCGGUCUAUUUUCUUGUGAACAUUGCUUAAAGCAUUACAAAUGAUGUCAUUAUGUUAAUAAAUUCGGUUUCAUUCUUCACUCACAAGAAGGGGGAAGGAAAAGAUUUCUUUGUGUCCUAGGCCCUGUCACUAAGACCCUUCCCAGUGUAGAGAACAGGCUUAGGUUGCCCAGAGCACCUUCAGUCCCUCAGCUGAGCCACCAGGGCUUUCAACAUUGCAGGAAUUCCCAUGGUGGCCAGCAGAGAGAGCUCGAGCACCACACACCCAGAGGGGCGGGUUCCUCUGCAUGGGCAGUGAUGGCCAGCAGAGGGCCCACCAACGGCUUUUCUGACCCAGGGCACUUCAGAGCAGGAAGGGUUGCUGUUGCUCCCAGAGGACACAGGUCCUCUGCCGCUGCCUCAGGACAGAGAGCAGAGCUGCGUUUCCAGCGCGUUCUGCCGCCCACCCCAGGGGAGACCUUGGGAGUUUUGCAGCAACUUGGCAUCUCCUGAGUCACCAGAGAGAAGCUGCCUUGUACUGAGUGCCAAGGAGGGGGCGCUGGGUGGCUUCCCUGGGAAAGCUGGUUGCUGAGCAACACAGGCCCUUGCAUUUUCUGGGCUGUCCCCAUGUUUUAUUCCUCCCCUUCCCAGACAGUAUCUGAACAAGACGUAUUUUACUAAAGGACUCAUGGAUUGCGGGGUCCCAGGACAUCACCUCAUAGAUGCAGUCGAUGGUUUGUUCCAGAUUCAGGCUUGUUUCCAGGAAGAAACCCUGACAGAAAUUCAGAAGAACGGGAGCUGCAUUCAGUUAGGAUGUGAAUACAUGAAAUGCUCAUCUCAAGACCUUCUAGAAGAAUGAGCUGGGACCCACUUUCUGAGUCCUGCUGGAACCAGAGACCGAGAUAUUGCCCAGGUGUCUGAAAGCCUGCAUUGGGGUACCUCCUUUUCCAAUAGUCUAUAUUCCCAUAAGUAUUGCAGUCGGUCUACUUUGGACUUUUGCUUCUAUUGUAUCUCUCUGUAUGUUCACAUACUUUUGUUGCACCACUUUAAUGAUGAGGCCUUCAUCAUCACUUUAAUUUUCACUAAAUGGUAUGAGCUGCAGUUCCAUUUAUGACAAAGUGCAGGCUUCCUGUGUUAGGUAUUCAAGAGCAAGCCAGAUAUCCUGAGCACUUGAGCUGAGAAUGUCACUCUGUCUUUUUGCCAGCCCUCUUCCUUUCCCUUGAAGACAAGAAUCUCCUGUUGUUCACACAGAAAUGUGGGUGAAGUCAGUAGAAAACACUGCCUUCUCUCCUCUUCCCUUUAUCUCUCAAACUCCUCUUCACUACCUUCUGCCUUUCCCUUUCUCUGACUCAAUCUUCCAGGCCCACUGCUCCACUCCAGCCAUAAUCAGGGUGUCCUACAGCUGCUGGCCUCUGCCCUGUCCAUCCCUCAGUGAGAAAUCUGGAGUAGGAUUAUGGAGUUCACAGGACUGAUCAAGAAAUAUGUGAUCCUCAGAGCCCUCCUGCACAAGGUUGCUGUCUGUGGAGACAUGGCAUCCUGGGUGAGGAUCUGACUCUAUGUGUAGCCUCCUCACUCAUCUCCCACAGUCACUGCUGGUCCCUGAUCCUUACCCACCAUUAGAAAUCAGCCAUAUUCUAGGGUCAGGAACCUGUCUAUGUGACCCGAAGCACCAGGAGUCAGUGAGUAUUUCUAAAAUAAAUGAGCACAAGGACCCCAUGCAUCUAGAUAUAGGAAAUUACCAUCACCCCAGAAAACUCGGGCUCCUCUGCACAAAGGGUGAUCUUGCUACUAUCCUCCAUCACCUCAAUUUCUGCUAGUUUAUUACCUGUGUGUAUACGAACCGCACUGUGUGCAUUCGAUGGGGAGUGAGAGUAGGUCCUCCUAGAAGCAAACACUGAAACAGAGACAGAACAGUGAAAGUACUAUUAAGGGAUACUAAGAAAAACAAAGUGGAGAGCACCGGGUGGGCAGAGAAAGCAUGCAGGCAGAUCUGACACAUUUUUAAGAUAUAUAAUCACCAUACUCUGUCAGCUCACACAGUCCUCUUCAAAUUUCAAAAUAGUUGUCAUAUAAGGCAGUGAGAUUUAUGAGAUUUGGGGUUAUUUCCCUAUGGUCAUAUGUUUUCCUACCUGCAUUCCCUCUUCGAUAGUUAAUCUGUGGCCUCAGAUGAACACUUUAGAGUGUGGAUGCAUCUGCGAGUCUCUAUGUAAUGGAAUAUGAUUGUCUUCAGAUCUCAGAUGUAGAACUCUGAUAUAUACAUUCUCAUAAUUAUCAUUUUCUUUCUUUGCCUGGUAGGGCCUGAAUUUUAAUAGAAAAAGCAUGUCUUUGUCUCAUUGUUUAAAAUGGUGAUUCCCAAUCCCUUGGCUGAGGUGUUAACAGUCUUAAUUUAAUGAAUUUCCACAACCAUCUGUUUUUUUUUUUCCUGAAGUACCAAAAUGAACUUAUUAUUUCACUUGUAGGCAGGUUCUAUAGAAUGGAGUCAAAGUAAAACAAUAAAAUGCAUAUUCAGUGCAUGUGAAAUAGGUACAUAUUCUACAUAUAGUCAUGCAAAAACUUUAGUUAAAAAAUUAAAAGUCUGAUCUAAAAUGAAAUCAGUCUGUGAUUGCCUAGUAGAAAUGCUUAGCUCCUACUAUGUAAAUAUCAUGAAUCUAUAUGAACUAUUAAAAUUUGACAGUCAGUAGACAACUGUGUCCUACAUUUAUGUUUAUUAAAAACUGACAUAAACAAACAAAGCCUGUACAAAAAAUAUUCCAAAUCACGUAUCACUUUGAAAUAGUAAUCUUGAGAGACAUUAUCGCCUAGGACCCCCUCUUCCUCUACCCCAACCACGUCCUCUUCCUCUUCCUCGGCCUCAGCCUCUUCCUGCAACAGCUUCCCUUUUCUUAGAUUUCACCUUCGGUUCAACAUCCAGAAGUAGUGUAUCCAGAGGUAAGCUGUCUGGCA
Felis catus (domestic cat) is the source of this 3159-nucleotide long non-coding RNA. RefSeq lists it as uncharacterized. The record is from RefSeq and is a predicted model, not a curated record. Lineage: Eukaryota; Metazoa; Chordata; Mammalia; Carnivora; Felidae. The transcript has 2 exons.